Long non-coding RNA from Myodes glareolus (Bank vole), 597 nucleotides. RefSeq lists it as uncharacterized. NCBI's taxonomy places the organism in Eukaryota, Metazoa, Chordata, Mammalia, Rodentia, Cricetidae. The record is from RefSeq and is a predicted model, not a curated record.
CUUUUUCUUUGGUGAAUCCCAUCCUUUGUUCUUUUCCUUGGCUGAGGAGGGUCCACAGUACCCUCAGGAAACCUUAGUCAAGGCCUGAGACUCGCAACAACUAGAAUUAUUAUGGGAAUGGAGGCAGUGCCUGCUCUUAUAUGGCCACUUUCCUGUGGAACCUAACCCUCCUGGCCCAGCAUAGUUUCUUCAUUUCUACAAAGUCAGCCUCGCCUGCACGGAUCUGGGACUGGGGCUCUGUCACCCGCCAGUCUCCAAGCAGCUGUGGAAGCUCCAAAAUGAAAUGUCUCCUAAUGAACUCCUUGUCGCGAGAAGUCAGCCAGUACAGAGCACAUCUCUGCCAACCACAGACUCAAAGUGGGUCCCUGAAGAACAUUACCAGAAACUGACCAGGAAGGUCCCUGGAGAUGCCUCAUCUGUGCUCGGGAAGGAGCAUUUGACUAUGAGCCUACUUCAAUAAGUGGGCUUCUCCUGCAACCGUGUUCUGAGAUCCCGUCACAGUCCCUCACAUCUGAACCUGUGCUGCCUCAGCCUCUUAGACAGGUGGCCAUGACACCCAGCUCGCAGCUGCAGAAUAAACUCCAGGACUUGGCCAGA